UUAGUUUGGUGCAAAAGUAAUUGUGGUUUUUGCCAUUAAAGGCAACAGCGAAAACCACAGUUAAUUUUGCACCAACCUAAUA
Molecule: microRNA precursor, 82 nt
Organism: Aotus nancymaae (Ma's night monkey)
Lineage: Eukaryota; Metazoa; Chordata; Mammalia; Primates; Aotidae
Source: Ensembl